GACGGAGGAUGCAAGCGUUAUCCGGAAUGAUUGGGCGUAAAGCGUCCGCAGGUGGCAGUUCAAGUCUGCUGUCAAAGACCGGGGCUUAACUUCGGAAAGGCAGUGGAAACUGAACAGCUAGAGUAUGGUAGGGGCAGAGGGAAUUCCUGGUGUAGCGGUGAAAUGCGUAGAUAUCAGGAAGAACACCCGUGGCGAAGGCGGCUCUCUGGGACGGUACUGACGCUGAGACGCGAAAGCGUGGGGAGCGAACAGG
This 253-nucleotide ribosomal RNA is filed under the name uncultured bacterium. RNAcentral describes it as "partial 16S ribosomal RNA". It matches the Rfam family "Bacterial small subunit ribosomal RNA", at positions 524 to 776 of the family's 1533-position model. The record is from RNAcentral.